Molecule: RNA transcript, 3505 nt
Organism: Humulus lupulus (European hop)
Lineage: Eukaryota; Viridiplantae; Streptophyta; Magnoliopsida; Rosales; Cannabaceae
Gene name: protein FAR1-RELATED SEQUENCE 3
Exons: 7
Source: RefSeq, a predicted model, not a curated record
CUUAUGUCAUCCGGAAUCCACAAGACACCGUGCUCUUUCUCUCUCGCUCCUCUCUUUCUCUCUCCUCUCCGACUCUGUAAUCGCUCCGCUCGGCGGUGAUGGUCAUGGUGGAGCGACCCACUGAACGACGUCGCUUCGGUCUUACUCUGCAGAUUGAAUCUACAUUUACUUUAAUAGAGUAAAAUAUGGGGUGGUCUGCCUCUUAGUUGACUGAAAAAGUAAAAACAAGAUCUUUACAUUGCACGGUGAAUAGCUAUGGAUGUUGAAGUGAUUGAAGUGGAAGGUAUGAGUCAUCGGGCAAUGGCGAAUGAUGGAGAUGCCGAACCCAAUGCGAGUAGAGACACUGAUACUGCUGAAAACAUCAUAGUUCAUGAUGAUGACGAUGGAAUUGGCGAGCCUUAUUUGGGAAUGGAAUUUGAUUCUGAGGAUGCCGCCAAAAUUUUUUAUGAUGAGUAUGCAAUGCAUGUUGGUUUUAACUCUAAAGUUGCUCCAUCUAGUCGUUCAAAAUUUGAUGGGUUGAUCAAUAUUCGGGAAUUUGUAUGUGGCAAAGAUGGGGUAAAAAGAAGGCAGGCCGAUAGUUGUGAAGCAAUGCUUAAGGUAGAAUUAAAAGGUCAAGGUAAGUGGGUUGUAACAAAGUUUGUGAAGGAGCACAACCAUUCAUUGGUUAAUCCCAAUAAAGUUCAUUAUAUUCGGCCACGUAGGCAUUUUGCGGGUACUGCAAAGACUGUGGCUGAAGCUUACCAAGGGGCAGGGACUGUUCCUAGUGGCGUUAUGUUUGUAUCAAUGGAUGGAAAUCGUUCCUCUGCAGAGAGAAAUAGUGGAGUUAGGAAUAGUCCUACAGAGUUCAACCGGUCAGCAAAGAAUUCUGCAACCAUGAAUUAUGCUUUUAAUCCCUGCAAUCGGAAAAGGACGCUUGGGAGGGAUGCUCAGAAUUUGCUGGAAUAUUUCAAGAAAAUGCAGGCUGAGAACCCUGGUUUUUUCUAUGCAAUACAACUUGAUGAAGAGAAUCGCAUGACUAAUGUAUUCUGGGCAGAUGCAAGGUCAAGAACUGCUUACAGUCAUUUUGGUGAUGCAGUAACUCUGGAUACGACUUAUAGAGUAAAUCAGUACAGGGUGCCCUUUGCUCCAUUUACAGGGGUAAACCAUCAUGGUCAGACAGUUUUGUUUGGUUGUGCAUUACUUCUAGACGAGUCAGAAGCUACUUUUACAUGGCUUUUUAAGACAUUUCUUACAGCAAUGAAUGAUUGCCCACCUGCGUCUAUUACCACUGAUCAAGACAGAGCGAUGCAGACUGCAGUUGCUAAUGUUUUUCCAGAAUCUCGUCAUUGUAUUAGCAAGUGGCAUGUUUUAAGAGAAGGGCAGGAGAAGUUGGCUCAUGUUUGUCAUGCUCAUCCAAAUUUUCAAUCAGAACUCUAUAACUGUAUCAAUUUGACUGAAACUAUAGAGGAGUUUGAAUCAUCUUGGAAUUUUAUCCUUGAUAAAUAUGAUCUCAGGAGAAAUGAUUGGCUGUUGACAUUGUAUAAUGCCCGUGAUAAAUGGGUCCCUGUCUAUUUUCGAGAUUCUUUUUUUGCUGCAAUAUCUUCAAAUCCAGGAUAUGAUGGUUCCUUCUUUGAAGGUUAUGUGAAUCAACAGACAACCUUACCAAUGUUCUUUAGGCAAUAUGAAAGAGCUUUAGAAAACUGUUUUGAGAAGGAAAUAGAAGCUGAUUUUGAUACAAUUUGCAACACGCCAGUGUUGAGGACACCAUCUCCUAUGGAAAAACAGGCAGCAAAUCUGUAUACACGGAAAAUUUUCACAAAAUUUCAAGAAGAGCUAGUUGAAACUUUUGUGUACACUGCAAACAGAAUUGAGGGUGAUGGAGCUAUUAGUACUUUCAGAGUUGCUAAAUUUGAGGACGACAAUAAAGCUUAUCUUGUCACUCUGAACUAUCCUGAGAUGAAAGCUAACUGUAGUUGUCAAAUGUUUGAGUAUUCAGGCAUUCUUUGUAGACAUGUUUUGACUGUUUUCACUGUAACAAAUGUACUUACAUUGCCUUCGCCUUACAUUUUAAAACGUUGGACGAGAAAUGCAAAGAGUGGAGCUGGCUUAGAUGAACGAAGUAGUGACUCACAUGCUCAGGAGUCUCUAACAUUACGGUACAAUAAUUUAUGUCGGGAAGCCAUUAGAUAUGCUGAAGAAGGUGCUACUGCUACAGAAACUUACAAUGCAGCAAUGACUGCCCUGAGAGAUGGUGGGAAGAAAAUUGUUAUUGCUAAGAAAAAUGUUGCUAAAGUUGCACCUCCUAGUGCUCAGGUUAGUGGGACUAGUUAUGAUGAUAGGAGAAAUUCUACUUUAACUUCAGAUUCAACUCCAUUGUUAUGGCCACGCCAUGACGAAGUGUUAAGACGAUUUAAUCUUAAUGAUGCUGGUGCUCCUGUGCAAACUGUUGCUGAUUUGAAUUUGCCACGCAUGGCCCCAGUUUCUCUUCACAGAGAUGAUGGUACUCCUGAAAAUAUGGUUGUACUUCCUUGUCUAAAGUCAAUGACUUGGGUGAUGGAAAAUAAGAAUUCAACACCAGGGAAUAGAGUUGCUGUCAUUAACCUGAAGUUGCAAGAUUAUAGCAGAACUCCAUCAGCAGAGUCAGAGGUUAAGUUUCAACUUUCAAGAGUAUCAUUAGAACCCAUGCUGAGGUCUAUGGCCUACAUAAGUGAACAGCUAUCAACGCCAGCUAAUAAGGUUGCUGUCAUCAAUUUGAAGUUUUCUUGAGUGGGUGGGAUUAUGGAAGCAAGGAAUUUUAUACCAGCUUCAAGACACUGAAACAACUUCAGGGGAGUCGGAGGUUAAAUUUCAGGUGUCCAAGGAUACAUUAGGUGCCAUGCUGAGAUCAAUGGCCUAUAUUCGUGAGCAGCUCUCAAAUCCUGCUGACAUACCUCCAGAACCACUACUGAAGAAGCAGAGGAAGUGACUACAUUGUAAUUGUUUGCCUCCGAUAUAGAAUCUGGCCCGAUCACCCCAGUGUAUGUGACCACGUAACUCUUUUGGAGACAAAAAUGUUCUGAUCAGGUUGGGGAUGCUCAUGUACCGUCAUCUUUAUAUUGGGUAGCUGGUAGCCGCUCCUUUCCUUUCACAGUAAGCCUUUUUUUAGCAUAUUUGUACAUGUAGCGUAUCAAACUUGAGGAACCAAAGCAUGACAGAGAUUUCAUAGUUGGUAAUAUGGCACAGAUUUGAAUGAAAGCCCAGAAUUAGACAUUGCCUUAAAAAAGUAGCAGGGUUAAUUCUUCUUCCAUCUCGAAUGUGAGAAGAUUCUGCAGCUUUUCACUUUGUGCAAACAUUGCAGAGUGGGAAGCAAAGAGAUUGAAAGGCCAGUGGGAGUGAGGUGAGCGGGGAAAGUUGAUCAAGAUCUGGCUGGCAUUAGAGUUGUGAGAGGUGAUUCAGUGUCUUGUAUAUUCUUCUUAUUGUCAUAAUGACAUUUGUAGAUAUUUUGUUAACAAAUAAGAUCCAUAAAAAACCAAGUAGUGUUGAAAUA